This 353-nucleotide unclassified non-coding RNA is filed under the name soil metagenome. RNAcentral describes it as "partial contains 5.8S ribosomal RNA, internal transcribed spacer 2, and large subunit ribosomal RNA". The stretch from base 1 to 120 matches the Rfam family "5.8S ribosomal RNA", at positions 35 to 154 of the family's 154-position model. The record is from RNAcentral.
GAUGAAGAACGCAGCGAAAUGCGAUAAGUAAUGUGAAUUGCAGAAUUCAGUGAAUCAUCGAAUCUUUGAACGCACAUUGCGCCCGCCAGUAUUCUGGCGGGCAUGCCUGUCCGAGCGUCAUUUCAACCCUCGAACCCCUCCGGGGGGUCGGCGUUGGGGAUCGGCCCUGCCUUUGGCGGUGGCCGUCUCCGAAAUACAGUGGCGGUCUCGCCGCAGCCUCUCCUGCGCAGUAGUUUGCACACUCGCAUCGGGAGCGCGGCGCGUCCACAGCCGUUAAACACCCAACUUCUGAAAUGUUGACCUCGGAUCAGGUAGGAAUACCCGCUGAACUUAAGCAUAUCAUAAGCGGAGGA